RNAcentral lists this non-coding RNA (24 nucleotides) under Arabidopsis thaliana (thale cress). The record is from RNAcentral. Lineage: Eukaryota; Viridiplantae; Streptophyta; Magnoliopsida; Brassicales; Brassicaceae.
CGAUCUACCCUUGUUGAGUUUGAA